Molecule: ribosomal RNA, 1371 nt
Filed under: uncultured bacterium
Lineage: Bacteria
Description: bacterial SSU rRNA
Rfam family: Bacterial small subunit ribosomal RNA
Source: RNAcentral
GAUGAACGCUGGCGGCGUGCCUAAUACAUGCAAGUCGAGCGAACGGACGAGAAGCUUGCUUCUCUGAUGUUAGCGGCGGACGGGUGAGUAACACGUGGAUAACCUACCUAUAAGACUGGGAUAACUUCGGGAAACCGGAGCUAAUACCGGAUAAUAUUUUGAACCGCAUGGUUCAAAAGUGAAAGACGGUCUUGCUGUCACUUAUAGAUGGAUCCGCGCUGCAUUAGCUAGUUGGUAAGGUAACGGCUUACCAAGGCAACGAUGCAUAGCCGACCUGAGAGGGUGAUCGGCCACACUGGAACUGAGACACGGUCCAGACUCCUACGGGAGGCAGCAGUAGGGAAUCUUCCGCAAUGGGCGAAAGCCUGACGGAGCAACGCCGCGUGAGUGAUGAAGGUCUUCGAAUCGUAAAACUCUGUUAUUAGGGAAGAACAUAUGUGUAAGUAACUGUGCACAUCUUGACGGUACCUAAUCAGAAAGCCACGGCUAACUACGUGCCAGCAGCCGCGGUAAUACGUAGGUGGCAAGCGUUAUCCGGAAUUAUUGGGCGUAAAGCGCGCGUAGGCGGUUUUUUAGUCUGAUGUGAAAGCCCACGGCUCAACCGUGGAGGGUCAUUGGAAACUGGAAAACUUGAGUGCAGAAGAGGAAAGUGGAAUUCCAUGUGUAGCGGUGAAAUGCGCAGAGAUAUGGAGGAACACCAGUGGCGAAGGCGACUUUCUGGUCUGUAACUGACGCUGAUGUGCGAAAGCGUGGGGAUCAAACAGGAUUAGAUACCCUGGUAGUCCACGCCGUAAACGAUGAGUGCUAAGUGUUAGGGGGUUUCCGCCCCUUAGUGCUGCAGCUAACGCAUUAAGCACUCCGCCUGGGGAGUACGACCGCAAGGUUGAAACUCAAAGGAAUUGACGGGGACCCGCACAAGCGGUGGAGCAUGUGGUUUAAUUCGAAGCAACGCGAAGAACCUUACCAAAUCUUGACAUCCUUUGACAACUCUAGAGAUAGAGCCUUCCCCUUCGGGGGACAAAGUGACAGGUGGUGCAUGGUUGUCGUCAGCUCGUGUCGUGAGAUGUUGGGUUAAGUCCCGCAGCGAGCGCAACCCUUAAGCUUAGUUGCCAUCAUUAAGUUGGGCACUCUAAGUUGACUGCCGGUGACAAACCGGAGGAAGGUGGGGAUGACGUCAAAUCAUCAUGCCCCUUAUGAUUUGGGCUACACACGUGCUACAAUGGACAAUACAAAGGGCAGCGAAACCGCGAGGUCAAGCAAAUCCCAUAAAGUUGUUCUCAGUUCGGAUUGUAGUCUGCAACUCGACUACAUGAAGCUGGAAUCGCUAGUAAUCGUAGAUCAGCAUGCUACGGUGAAUACGUUCCCGGGUCU